AGUGAACGCUGGCGGUAGGCCUAACACAUGCAAGUCGAACGGCAGCACAGUAAGAGCUUGCUCUUACGGGUGGCGAGUGGCGGACGGGUGAGGAAUACAUCGGAAUCUACUUUUUCGUGGGGGAUAACGUAGGGAAACUUACGCUAAUACCGCAUACGACCUACGGGUGAAAGCAGGGGAUCUUCGGACCUUGCGCGAUUGAAUGAGCCGAUGUCGGAUUAGCUAGUUGGCGGGGUAAAGGCCCACCAAGGCGACGAUCCGUAGCUGGUCUGAGAGGAUGAUCAGCCACCCUGGAACUGAGACACGGUCCAGACUCCUACGGGAGGCAGCAGUGGGGAAUAUUGGACAAUGGGCGCAAGCCUGAUCCAGCCAUACCGCGUGGGUGAAGAAGGCCUUCGGGUUGUAAAGCCCUUUUGUUGGGAAAGAAAAGCAGCAGGUUAAUACCCCGCUGUUCUGACGGUACCCAGAGAAUAAGCACCGGCUAACUUCGUG
RNAcentral lists this ribosomal RNA (492 nucleotides) under uncultured bacterium. RNAcentral describes it as "partial 16S ribosomal RNA". It matches the Rfam family "Bacterial small subunit ribosomal RNA", at positions 29 to 507 of the family's 1533-position model. The record is from RNAcentral.